Molecule: long non-coding RNA, 1112 nt
Filed under: Pan troglodytes (chimpanzee)
Lineage: Eukaryota; Metazoa; Chordata; Mammalia; Primates; Hominidae
Description: long non-coding RNA NONPTRT003687
Source: RNAcentral
AUCACUUGCAUCCAGCAGGUGGAGGUUGCAGUGAGCUGAGAUCGCACUGCUGCAUUCCAGCCUGGACAACAGAGAGAGACUCCAUCUAAAAAAAAAAGAAAAAAAAGAAAAAAAAAUUCUCGUAGCCAAGGAGGACGCAUUAAUUGUGCUCAGGAAUAAUUGCCACAUCAGAUACAAAGUGAGAAGCCACGUUAUGAAGGGACACAAAGAUGCUAGAUUAGCCAAGACUCUUGGUCAAAAGUGAUACGUAUGCCUGCUCCAAUUGGCUUAAGCAAUAAAGGGAGGUUAUUGGCUCCUAAAUCUAGUGAGCUUUCAGGUAUGGCUUGAUCAGGGUGUUCAAAUGAUGUCAUCAGAAAUCCCUCCAUCAUUACCCUCUGCCUCUGGUUUUCUCUGAGUCAACUUAAUUCCCUGCUGGCAUGACGGCCACCAAGAGCUUUAGGCUUAUAUCCUGCCAGCUUAGCAACUCCAACUCAAAGAGCACCACUUUUUCAAUGAUUUUAGCCAAAAUUCCAAGACUUGUCUCAGACCAGCCUGAAUCAUGUGCCUGCUCUUGAACAAAGCACAGUAGCCAGGGAAAAAUUGUGCUUUGAUUGUCUAGGACUGGGUCCUGGACCUGCCCCUGGGACUUGCGGAAGGGGACAGCUCAAUCUGAGCCAUAUCAACUGAGAACACAGGAAGCAUGGUCCAACCAAGAGAUGUCUAUUCCAGGUAUAGUGGAGCCUCAGAGGACAGCAUGACUCUCGUUCGGCUGGUGGAUCAGGGAAUGGUCCAAUAAGCCACAGCUGUGGAUAUGAAGAUCUUGUGAAAUCAGUGACCUCUGGGUCAUGUAGAAACCCAGCACAUUCCCACAGGACACAGCCUAGCAGUUGAUCAGAGCAAUAGUUCAUACCUGAGACCCUGGAUUUUCAGACCCUCCCCCAGCCCCCACCAGCCUCUGUCAGUGCCAAGCUGGACGGAACAAACCACAUGAGGUGGGCAGAGCCAAGGUGCCCUCCCUACACCUUCCUGGGGCCGCCAGCGAUCCUGAGCUCAUCCUCCUGACCUGCAGACCCCUCGGCUCUGGCCCUCACGUCCUGCUUGCUGUACCUGCUUUAUCCCAUGUCACCAUCUCC